GACACCAGCACCCGGAGCUGAGCAGGGCUGGGCUGAUGGGGAGCCUGAAGGGCCUGAUGGGGAAUGCCCGCCCCGGGCUGUCAACCUGUGCCAGGUAUGGCUCCACGCCAGCUGUGCCUUUAGGUCCUGAGUUCGCACAGGGCAUUCAUUCUCAGCAAUCCGGAAGACGACCCUCAAGCUGCCCUCCUGAAGCCACACCCACUCCCAGGAGGCAGGGGAGGGCACCCCUGUUCCCGAGUGUUCUCAGGAGGCCCGCUGAUGGCAGAGUUGAAGAACAAUGGGAGAUUUGCCCUUGAGAAGGCCCAACGAUCCCCUUUCUCAGGGAAGUGCUCCAGGACCCUGACUCUCAGGCAGGCCUGCCUCACCCCUACACGGACUCCCUCCACUGAGCCCCCUGCGUGUCUUUAAUUCCCUGCUGACGGGGAAGGGAGUUCUGGCCGCACCUCCCACCCUUCAGGUUCCAGGAUCUUCACUUUCCAGACACUCUGCCACUUCCCCCGCUUUAUCCAGUUUUGGCGGCCUCGGGAUGUGGGCCUGGGGCUCGCUGGUGGGGCCAGGCCAGCAGCCAGGGCCCUGCGAGGCCCACCUGGGCUCCCCUCCCAGCUUCCUGGAUCUACCCUACUCCCUCUGUAAAAAGCCGCACGACGACAGUGGCCAGGUUCAGGGAGCCUCUGCGGUCUACACCAGUCCUCUCGUUAAACCUCACAAGUCCCCAAGGCAGGAAGGAGUUCCUGGUCCCUCUUUCGAUGGCAGAGGACAGGGACCUUCCGAGGGCUCUGCACGUCUCACAGUCUCACGUGACCACCUUGCAGUUCAAAAGCUCCACUUGGCUAGAACCGCCGAGUUCUCUGGUGGUGCUGCCUCACUGGAGGACAACUGUGAGCUCAGAGGCCACGUCUUCAGUUCCCAGCCCCUUGGCCUCUCCCACCGCAGGCCUCUCCCUGACCUGAGGUUGCCCUGCCGUCUCCCCUCCCUUCCCUCGCCCGCAGGCUGUAUCCUCACCCCUCCUGCCACUUCUGGGCUCCGGGGCUCACCCCACAGCUUCGAGCCGUCUCCUCUCCUGCCCACGCCCAGGCUCCCAGCUGGCUGGCGGACCUCAGCCCCCCGCCCCCGCUCCCCUCCGACUCUCCCCAUCUGACCCGUCUCAUCCACACUCUGGGCCCCUCUUCCUCCCAAACCACUUCCUCCUCUUGAGGAACCCCCUCACUGGUCCUGCAGUCACUUGGGUUCCACGGUCAUCAGCUUCGCCUCUCUCCUCUCCCUCGGCCUCCACAGGCCAUCACCGGGUCGCUCCCCUCCUGCUGCUCCCAAUACCAUUGCCCUGGUUCUCCUUCCCAGAGGGCAGAGCGCGGGGCCCAGGAAAGCCUCCACCGGCCGCUCAUUCAACACUUCUUUAUUGAGAGCACGCACCAGGCGUUGUCCCCACCGCGUGGAGCGAGACAACGCCCGCCCGUGGGGACACUCAUCCUAGCGGGGACAGAUAGUAACUUCGAUCCAAACGUACAUCAGGUCGGAGUGCCCUGAAAACAGUAAAAGCAGAGCUGGGAUAGGUAUGCCCAAGCAGGGGGGCUCCUUGAUGCGGGGUGGUCUGGGAGGCCCUCCUCCGUCCAGAGGGUGGCAUGGCUGCAGAGGGCCGAGGCCAGUCACCGAGGUCAAAAGGAACGUAACUCUCUGAGGAAGAGCACACCGUCAGUUUGGUAAUAAAAACCCAGGGACUUUA
This is a long non-coding RNA of Panthera uncia (snow leopard), 1720 nucleotides long. RefSeq lists it as uncharacterized. NCBI's taxonomy places the organism in Eukaryota, Metazoa, Chordata, Mammalia, Carnivora, Felidae. The record is from RefSeq and is a predicted model, not a curated record. The transcript has 2 exons.